GAUGAACGCUAGCGGCAGGCCUAACACAUGCAAGUCGAGGGAGGAGCUUUCGGGCUUCGACCGGCGUACGGGUGCGUAACGCGUAUACAAUCUGCCUUUCACAUAGGGAUAGCCCGAAGAAAUUUGGAUUAAUACCUAAUGGUAUAUAGGAGUGGCAUCACAUUUAUAUUAAAGCUAAGGCGGUGAAAGAUGAGUAUGCGUUCUAUUAGCUAGUUGGAGAGGUAACGGCUCCCCAAGGCGACGAUAGAUAGGGGUUCUGAGAGGGAUAUCCCCCACACUGGUACUGAGAUACGGACCAGACUCCUACGGGAGGCAGCAGUGAGGAAUAUUGGACAAUGGUCGGAAGACUGAUCCAGCCAUGCCGCGUGCAGGAAGACGGCCUUAUGGGUUGUAAACUGCUUUUGCAGGGGAAGAAUAAGGACUACGCGUAGUUUGAUGACGGUACUCUGCGAAUAAGCAUCGGCUAACUCCGUGCCAGCAGCCGCGGUAAUACGGAGGAUGCGAGCGUUAUCCGGAAUCAUUGGGUUUAAAGGGUCCGUAGGCGGGCUAAUAAGUCAGAGGUGAAAGCGCUCAGCUCAACUGAGCAACUGCCUUUGAAACUGUUAGUCUUGAAUGGUUGUGAAGUAGUUGGAAUGUGUAGUGUAGCGGUGAAAUGCUUAGACAUUACACAGAACACCGAUAGCGAAGGCAUAUUACUAACAAUUAAUUGACGCUGAUGGACGAAAGCGUGGGGAGCGAACAGG
RNAcentral lists this ribosomal RNA (743 nucleotides) under uncultured Capnocytophaga sp. Its description in RNAcentral is "bacterial SSU rRNA". It matches the Rfam family "Bacterial small subunit ribosomal RNA", at positions 28 to 776 of the family's 1533-position model. Lineage: Bacteria; Pseudomonadati; Bacteroidota; Flavobacteriia; Flavobacteriales; Flavobacteriaceae. The record is from RNAcentral.